AGUGAGAGUAGAGGUGCAAUUUUCAUCAGUAGGUCAGUUCAGGAGGUUGAACUCCCACGAUCCUUUCCGAAAGGGGAAAUUGCCGAAGCACUCAGGUGUUCAACCAUCUGAUCGCUGGUUCUGCCCUUAAAUAAAGGCAGAACUGUCGUACAGCCCAGCUGCUGUAUGGAGGGCUAUCUCACGC
This 184-nucleotide non-coding RNA is filed under the name Salisediminibacterium beveridgei. Its description in RNAcentral is "Bacillus beveridgei Lysine sequence". It matches the Rfam family "Lysine riboswitch aptamer". Rfam says of the family: Riboswitches are metabolite binding domains within certain messenger RNAs that serve as precision sensors for their corresponding targets. Lineage: Bacteria; Bacillati; Bacillota; Bacilli; Caryophanales; Bacillaceae. The record is from Rfam by way of RNAcentral.